RNAcentral lists this ribosomal RNA (495 nucleotides) under uncultured bacterium. Its description in RNAcentral is "partial 16S ribosomal RNA". It matches the Rfam family "Bacterial small subunit ribosomal RNA", at positions 28 to 507 of the family's 1533-position model. The record is from RNAcentral.
GACGAACGCUGGCGGCGUGCCUAAUACAUGCAAGUAGAACGCUGAAGGAGGAGCUUUCUCUUCUGGAUGAGUUGCGAACGGGUGAGUAACGCGUAGGUAACCUGCCUGGUAGCGUGGGAUAACUAUUGGAAACGAUAGCUAAUACCGCAUAAGAGUAGAUGUUGCAUGACAUUUACUUAAAAGGUGCAAUUGCAUCACUACCAGAUGGACCUGCGUUGUAUUAGCUGGUUGGUGGGGUAACGGCUUACCAAGGCGACGAUACAUAGUCGACCUGAGAGGGUGGUCGGCCACACUGGGACUGAGACACGGCCCAGAGUCCUACGGGAGGCAGCAGUAGGGAAUCUUCGGCAAUGGACGGAAGUCUGACCGAGAAAGGCCGAGGGAGUGAAGAAGGUUGUCGGAUCGUAAAGCUCGGUUGUAAGAGAAGAACGAGUGUGAGAGUGGAAAGUUCACACUGUGACGGUAUCUUACCAGAAAGGGACGGCUAACUACGUG